AGCUCCAAUAGCGUAUAUUUAAGUUGUUGCAGUUAAAAAGCUCGUAGUUGGAUUUUGGGUUGGGGCGACCGGUCCGCCGUUCCGGUGUGCACUGGUUGCCACUUCCUUUCUGCCGGGGACGCGCUCCUGGGCUUCAUUGUCUGGGACGCGGAGUCGGCGUUGUUACUUUGAAAAAUUAGAGUGUUCAAAGCAAGCCAUCGCUCUGAAUACAUUAGCAUGGAAUAACAGUAUAGGACUCUGGUCUUAUUCUGUUGGUUUUCGAGACCGGAGUAAUGAUUAAGAGGGACAGUCGGGGGCAUCCGUAUUUCAUUGUCAGAGGUGAAAUUCUUGGAUUUAUGAAAGACGAACUUCUGCGAAAGCAUUUGCCAAGGAUGUUUUCAUUGAUCAAGAACGAAAGU
Molecule: ribosomal RNA, 398 nt
Filed under: uncultured eukaryote
Lineage: Eukaryota
Description: SSU rRNA
Rfam family: Eukaryotic small subunit ribosomal RNA
Source: RNAcentral